RNAcentral lists this ribosomal RNA (478 nucleotides) under uncultured bacterium. RNAcentral describes it as "partial 16S ribosomal RNA". It matches the Rfam family "Bacterial small subunit ribosomal RNA", at positions 28 to 523 of the family's 1533-position model. The record is from RNAcentral.
GACGAACGCUGGCGGCGUGCUUAACACAUGCAAGUCGACCGGUAAGGCCCUUCGGGGUACACGAGUGGCGAACGGGUGAGUAACACGUGGGUGAUCUGCCCUGUACUCCGGGUUAAGCCUGGGAAACUGGGUCCCAUACCGGACAGGACCACCUCCUGCACGGGCGGGUGGGGAAAGCUUUUGCGGUGUGGGAUGGGCCCGCGGCCUAUCAGCUUGUUGGUGGGGUGAUGGCCUACCAAGGCGACGACGGGUAGCCGGCCUGAGAGGGUUGCCGGCCACACUGGGACUGAGAUACGGCCCAGCCUCCUACGGGAGGCAGCAGUGCGGAAUAUUGCACAAUGGUCGCAAGCCUGAUGCAGCGACGCCGCGUGAGGGAUGACGGCCUUCGGGUUGUAACCCUCUUUCAGCGCCGACGAAGCGCAAGUGACGGUAGGUGCAGAAGAAGGACCGGCCAACUACGUGCCAGCAGCCGCAGUAA